Long non-coding RNA from Rhea pennata, 413 nucleotides. RefSeq lists it as uncharacterized. NCBI's taxonomy places the organism in Eukaryota, Metazoa, Chordata, Aves, Rheiformes, Rheidae. The transcript has 3 exons. The record is from RefSeq and is a predicted model, not a curated record.
AGCGAAUGCCUGUUUUCUGCUGCGAAUGAAGACCUAGCCCCAAGCCUGGCUUUCAAUGAGCACUGCUGUGUUGAUCAAGACAUCCAGGAGCGACUGUUGAACUAUACAAACUUCAAUUCCAGUCACAAAAGACAUAACCUGACUCUUCUGAACGUCACGAGUGCUGACAGUGGGAAAUAUUUGUGCGUUGUUGCUGCCUGGCAACACGGUAAACUUGUGUGGCAAGUUCCUACUAACUGGUCAGUGGAUGUCCAGAUCGACAGAACGGCACCUACACAGUGGCAUAUCAUCUCUGGAGCUGUAGCUGGGAUUAUUUUUCUCAGUGUGACAGUAGGACUGAUCUUUCUGAAGAUAUUCAAAUCAAAAGAGAAAAAAACAACCACACAGCUUACCAGGUACUGCCUUGAAAGAAC